Molecule: small RNA, 112 nt
Filed under: Marmota monax (woodchuck)
Lineage: Eukaryota; Metazoa; Chordata; Mammalia; Rodentia; Sciuridae
Source: RNAcentral
GCCGGGUGCAGUGGCACACACCUGUGAUCCCAGUGGCUUGGGAGGCUGAGGCAGGAGGAUCACGAGUUCAAAGCCAGCCUCAGCUAAGCAACUCGGUGAGACCCUGUCUAUA